GUCCCCCUCCCCCCUCUGUCGGGCCGCGCUCGGUCAUGCACCGUCUUUCGAGUCGGCGUCGUGGCCGUGCGCUCCCGGCAAACACAACGAACCCCGGCGUGAAUUGCGCCAAGGAAAUAUAAAGAAGGGUCAUGUCCCCGGCACCUUCGUGUCGGACAAGGGCGUGUCAUCUUUGAUGUCUUUAACGACUCUCGGCAACGGAUAUCUCGGCUCUCGCAUCGAUGAAGAACGUAGCGAAAUGCGAUACUUGGUGUGAAUUGCAGAAUCCCGUGAACCAUCGAGUCUUUGAACGCAAGUUGCGCCUGAAGCCAUUCGGCCGAAGGCACGUCUGCCUGGGCGUCACGUACCCAAUCGCCCCCCAAAACCUCCCACAUCUCUAGCGAUUUGUGGAGGGCUCGGAGGACGGAGAUUGGCCUCCCGUGCUGUAACGGCGCGGAUGGCCUAAAAGCAAAGCAUCGAGCGACGAAACGUCACGACAAGUGGUGGUUGAUAAAGCCCUAGCGGCAGCCUCAUCGUGUCGUGUGCGUCCAGUCGCGUUCGAUAGCCCAACGACCCCUACACGUCUCGACGAAUUCUGUCGCGA
This 583-nucleotide ribosomal RNA is filed under the name Ribes alpestre. RNAcentral describes it as "eukaryotic LSU rRNA". The stretch from base 187 to 342 matches the Rfam family "5.8S ribosomal RNA". Lineage: Eukaryota; Viridiplantae; Streptophyta; Magnoliopsida; Saxifragales; Grossulariaceae. The record is from RNAcentral.